Molecule: transfer RNA, 664 nt
Filed under: Novacetimonas pomaceti
Lineage: Bacteria; Pseudomonadati; Pseudomonadota; Alphaproteobacteria; Acetobacterales; Acetobacteraceae
Description: Komagataeibacter pomaceti partial contains 16S ribosomal RNA and 16S-23S ribosomal RNA intergenic spacer
Rfam family: tRNA (bases 179-252)
Source: RNAcentral
UCCUUUCAAGGAAGCUUUCCGAGCUUCGGGCCGGGUAACUGGCCUGGAUUGGAAAGCUCCGAUAAAAAGUCCUCUCUCUAGGAUCAGGAGAGGCACAGCCAAGGAACCAUCUCCCGUGACUUCGGUCAUGGAAGCGCCGUCAACAUAUCCCGUCCAGCAACAAUCGUCGGACCCUUUUGGGCUAGUAGCUCAGUUGGUUAGAGCACACGCUUGAUAAGCGUGGGGUCGGAGGUUCAAGUCCUCCCUGGCCCACCAUCGGGAUCACCAUCGGGGGCGUAGCUCAGCUGGGAGAGCACCUGCUUUGCAAGCAGGGGGUCGUCGGUUCGAUCCCGUCCGCCUCCACCAGGUGGCCCAAUAUUGCGUUUGGGUUGCCUGAUGCCGGCAGGCGGUGGGAAAGGACGAAAGACGGUUGUUGGUUGGGAAAAGAGAUCGGACAGACGUCCGGCAGUCGCGAUGCGGCGCCGGGUGUUUUUGUCUGGUGAGUUUGUUCUUUGUCAGUGUGAAUAGGUUGGUGCGUUUGUGUGCGUGCCGUGUCGCGGGUUGGUCUGACCCAUGCGAUGGUCCGGGGAACCGGGGUAUUGCGUGCUGUGCGAUGUGGCGGAAGCGUACAUGGACGACGUAAAGAGAAGAGUGGUCGUGACAUGAACUGCACUUUCUUGUGUGC